AUCCAAAUGACGAGUCUCAAAGAGGACGAAACGUGUAUCCUGGAU
This 45-nucleotide non-coding RNA is filed under the name Schistosoma margrebowiei. Lineage: Eukaryota; Metazoa; Platyhelminthes; Trematoda; Strigeidida; Schistosomatidae. The record is from RNAcentral.